CUCUUGGCAAUGUUCUUUAUUUUACUAUGGAUAGUGUUGGCAUUAUUUCAGUUAAUAUCUAUAGCUACUGGAAAAAUUUACCUCCACAAGUCGGUCGCCGUUGCUAACAAUAAAAAUUUACCGGGAGUUUCAAUUUUGAAGCCUCUGAUUGGGGAAGAACCGAAUCUUAUAAAAAAUCUCCAAACAUUUUUUGAACUAAAUUACCCUAAGGU
Molecule: long non-coding RNA, 212 nt
Organism: Pocillopora damicornis (cauliflower coral)
Lineage: Eukaryota; Metazoa; Cnidaria; Anthozoa; Scleractinia; Pocilloporidae
Source: RefSeq, a predicted model, not a curated record